Molecule: unclassified non-coding RNA, 1104 nt
Filed under: Hevea brasiliensis (rubber tree)
Lineage: Eukaryota; Viridiplantae; Streptophyta; Magnoliopsida; Malpighiales; Euphorbiaceae
Source: RNAcentral
UCCAUCUAAAUAAAGAUAUCUCAACGACUACAUAUCCCCCAAAAUUUCUGGAAAACUCUCAAAUUUGGAGCAUCCUGAGAGAUUAAGCCUGCGCAGAUUUUUCAAUUUACAAAUACUGCUUGGGAGAAUACAAAAUCUUGUGCAGUUUUGCAGGCCCAGUUCAAUAAGUUCAGAGCAAUUCUCAAUGGAUGAGGGAAUUUCUUCUAUCGCUGUCCCAUCUAAAAGCAACUUUUUUAUAUUGCUUGAAACUUCCGGAAACCUAGCAAUGCUUGUGCAGCCAGAAAGGAUUAGCUUUUCAAGAGAGGCCAACAUAGAAACAUCACAAGGAAGAUUCUUGAGACUUUUGCAAUUCGUAAGAUCCAAACAAGAGAGUCUGGAGAGAAGACAAAUUGAAGAGGGAAUUUCUUCAAUUGCAGUAUCACUUAAGUACAAGAAUCUCACAUUUCCUGAAAUAUCUGGAAUCCUGGUGAUAUCAGAGCAGCCAGAGAGAUCAAUAGUCACAAGGUUUUUCAACAAACAAAUGCUUUCUGAAAGAUACCUGAUUCGUUUACAAUCCUUCAAAUUCAAUGAUAUGAGAUAACCUAGAUGCCUAAUUGAUUUCGGAAGUUCUUCGAUUGCAGUCUCAUUUAAGUUUAGAUACAUUAUGUUCUUUGCUAUCUCUGGACACUGUCCAAGAUUUGAACAGCCAGAAAGGUUAAGACUCUUGAGGGAUCUCAAAUUAAUGGCAAUAGGAAAGCUCUUAAGCCUUGUGCAGCAUCUCGCACUCAAAUCAAUAAGCUUCUCUAAAAACUGAAUAGAUGAGUGAACUUCUACCAAGCUAAUGCAGUACUCAAAAAUCACUCUCUCAAGAUUCUUAGCCAGUGAGAGGUCUGGGAAUGUAGUUAAGUGCUCAGAAUAGCUAAGGUCAAUCUCUUUCAUACUCACAAGAUUCUGCACUCCUGUCCAUAGCUGUUUAACACUGCUGUAAGCCAGGUUAAGUUGAACAAGGUUCUCCGCUUGAAAAUUGGAUGGCAAAGAGCUCAAAGGAUAUCCAUCCCAAUGGAAAUACCUCAACUCAUCAGAAAGAAACUCAAGGCCAUAAGGCAGAUGCACUUUACACUUAUU